This 253-nucleotide ribosomal RNA is filed under the name uncultured bacterium. Its description in RNAcentral is "partial 16S ribosomal RNA". It matches the Rfam family "Bacterial small subunit ribosomal RNA", at positions 524 to 776 of the family's 1533-position model. The record is from RNAcentral.
UACAGAGGUCUCAAGCGUUGUUCGGAUUCAUUGGGCGUAAAGGGUGCGUAGGUGGCGAGGCAAGUCAGAUGUGAAAUCCCGGGGCUCAACCCCGGAACUGCAUUUGAAACUGCCUUGCUCGAGUACUGGAGAGGAGACUGGAAUUUACGGUGUAGCAGUGAAAUGCGUAGAUAUCGUAAGGAAGACCAGUGGCGAAGGCGGCGCACUGGACCGGUACUGACGCUGAGGCGCGAAAGCGUGGGUAGCAAACAGG